GACGAACGCUGGCGGCGUGCCUAAUACAUGCGAGUAGAACGCUGAAGAGAGGAGCUUGCUCUUCUUGGAUGAGUUGCGAACGGGUGAGUAACGCGUAGGUAACCUGCCUUGUAGCGGGGGAUAACUAUUGGAAACGAUAGCUAAUACCGCAUAACAAUGGAUGACACAUGUCAUUUAUUUGAAAGGGGCAAUUGCUCCACUACAAGAUGGACCUGCGUUGUAUUAGCUAGUAGGUGAGGUAAUGGCUCACCUAGGCGACGAUACAUAGCCGACCUGAGAGGGUGAUCGGCCACACUGGGACUGGGACACGGCCCAGACUCCUACGGGAGGCAGCAGUAGGGAAUCUUCGGCAAUGGGGGCAACCCUGACCGAGCAACGCCGCGUGAGUGAAGAAGGUUUUCGGAUCGUAAAGCUCUGUUGUAAGUCAAGAACGGGUGUGAGAGUGGAAAGUUCACACUGUGACGGUAGCUUAACAGAAAGGGACGGCUAACUACGUG
Molecule: ribosomal RNA, 497 nt
Filed under: uncultured bacterium
Lineage: Bacteria
Description: partial 16S ribosomal RNA
Rfam family: Bacterial small subunit ribosomal RNA
Source: RNAcentral